RNAcentral lists this ribosomal RNA (253 nucleotides) under uncultured bacterium. RNAcentral describes it as "partial 16S ribosomal RNA". It matches the Rfam family "Bacterial small subunit ribosomal RNA", at positions 524 to 776 of the family's 1533-position model. The record is from RNAcentral.
UACGAGGGGGGCAAGCGUUGUUCGGAUUUAUUGGGCGUAAAGGGUGCGUAGGCGGUUUUCCAAGUUUGGGGUGAAAUCUCCCGGCUCAACUGGGAGGGUGCGCCGAAAACUGGAGGACUGGAGUACCGGAGAGGUAAGCGGAAUUCCUGGUGUAGCGGUGAAAUGCGUAGAGAUCAGGAGGAACACCUGUGGUGUAGACAGCUUACUGGACGGUGACUGACGCUGAGGCACGAAAGCGUGGGUAGCAAACAGG